This 440-nucleotide ribosomal RNA is filed under the name uncultured bacterium. RNAcentral describes it as "partial 16S ribosomal RNA". It matches the Rfam family "Bacterial small subunit ribosomal RNA", at positions 339 to 795 of the family's 1533-position model. The record is from RNAcentral.
CUACGGGUGGCAGCAGUGGGGAAUCUUGCGCAAUGGGCGAAAGCCUGACGCAGCAACGCCGCGUGCGGGAAGAAUGCCCUUUGGGCUGUAAACCGCUUUCAGCAGGAACGAAAAUGACGGUACCUGCAGAAGAAGAAGCGGCCAACUAUGUGCCAGCAGCCGCGGUGAUACAUAGGCUUCGAGCGUUGUCCGGAUUUAUUGGGCGUAAAGAGUUCGUAGGCGGUUAAGUAAGUCGGGUGUGAAAAUUCUGGGCUCAACCCAGAAACGCCACCCGAUACUGCUUGACUUGAGUUCGACAGGGGAGUGGGGAAUUCCUAGUGUAGCGGUGAAAUGCGCAGAUAUUAGGAGGAACACCGGUGGCGAAGGCGCCACUCUGGGUCGACACUGACGCUGAGGAACGAAAGCAUGGGUAGCAAACAGGAUUAGAUACCCUUGUAGUC